RNAcentral lists this ribosomal RNA (759 nucleotides) under uncultured low G+C Gram-positive bacterium. RNAcentral's name for it is "bacterial SSU rRNA". It matches the Rfam family "Bacterial small subunit ribosomal RNA", at positions 36 to 796 of the family's 1533-position model. Lineage: Bacteria; Bacillati; Bacillota. The record is from RNAcentral.
CUUGGCGGCGUGCUUACACAUGCAAGUCGAGCGAGAAGUUUAGAAAUGGAUCUUCGGAGAAAUAGAUAAAUGGACAGCGGCGGACGGGUGAGUAACGCGUAAAUAACCUACCAUGCACACAAGGAUAGCCAUCGGAAACGGUGAAUAAUACUUGAUGAGGCUACAGUUUCGCAUGAAACAGUAGUUAAAGAAUUUUGGUGUAUGAUGGAUUUGCGUUUGAUUAGCUAGUUGGUAAGGUAAUGGCUUACCAAGGCGAUGAUCAAUAGCCGGCCUGAGAGGGUGAACGGCCACACUGGAACUGAGACACGGUCCAGACUCCUACGGGAGGCAGCAGUGGGGAAUAUUGCACAAUGGGCGGAAGCCUGAUGCAGCAACGCCGCGUGAACGAAGAAGGCUUUCGAGUCGUAAAGUUCUGUUAUAGGGGAAGAAGAAGUGACGGUACCCUAUAAGAAAGCCACGGCUAAUUACGUGCCAGCAGCCGCGGUAAUACGUAAGUGGCGAGCGUUAUCCGGAAUUACUGGGCAUAAAGAGUUCGUAGGCGGUCAAAAAAGCCAAUAGUGAAAGCCACCGGCCUAACCGGUGUAAGCUAAUGGAACUGAUUGACUUGAGUACAGGAGAGGAAAGUGGAAUUCCUAGUGUAGUAGUGAAAUGCGUAGAUAUUAGGAAGAACAUCAGUAGCGAAGGCGGCUUUCUGGACUGAAACUGACGCUGAGGAACGAAAGCGUGGGGAGCGAACAGGAUUAGAUNCCCUGGUAGUCC